Molecule: ribosomal RNA, 335 nt
Filed under: uncultured bacterium
Lineage: Bacteria
Description: bacterial SSU rRNA
Rfam family: Bacterial small subunit ribosomal RNA
Source: RNAcentral
GACGUGACUUCAGAGUUUGAUCCUGGCUCAGGACGAACGCUGGCGGCGUGCUUAACACAUGCAAGUCGAACGAUGAAGCCCUGCUUGCAGGGUGGAUUAGUGGCGAACGGGUGAGUAACACGUGGGUGAUCUGCCCCGCACUUCGGGAUAAGCCUGGGAAACUGGGUCUAAUACCGGAUACGACCCCCUGGUAGGUCAGGGGGUGGAAAGAUUUAUCGGUGUGGGAUGAGCCUGCGGCCUAUCAGCUUGUUGGUGGGGUAAUGGCCUACCAAGGCGUCGACGGGCAGCCGGCCUGAGAGGGUGAUCGGCCACAUUGGGACUGAGACACGGCCCAG